UCGGCACCGGGCAGUGGGGCUUGGGAUUGAGCUUUCUGCCCUGGGCCCCAGUGAGUAUAGGGCUGGCCUGCUCUCUGGUUUAUUUUGACGAACCCCCUGAAACCUGCUCGUGGCUCCCCAGGGGCCCAGGACCUCUGGCUGAGAGCUGCUGAUAUAGCACACACUUCAGCUCCUCGGUCUAAUAAGCCCCUCCUUAGAGUCCUCU
Dermochelys coriacea (leatherback sea turtle) is the source of this 205-nucleotide long non-coding RNA. RefSeq lists it as uncharacterized. The transcript has 3 exons. The record is from RefSeq and is a predicted model, not a curated record. NCBI's taxonomy places the organism in Eukaryota, Metazoa, Chordata, Testudines, Dermochelyidae.